UCUUUCUUAAUACAAAAUUGUAGCUUUUCUAUGUUUUGUGAAUAGAAGACCACUAGAUCGUGACAAAUCACACACACCUAACCCUACCAAGCCCCUAACAAUAAACGAUAAAAAGCCCCACAACUACUAAUGCCCUUCUGACGGCAAAUGAUGAAAACCUCCAUAGCUAUUAACGUCUCUUAGAAAUCAAGCGAAAAAAUCCUAUGACUAUUAAUGCCCUUCCGACAGCAAACGACAAAAAAUCCUACGACUAAUAACAUCAAAAUCAAGCGGCAAAAAAGUCCCACGGCUACUAAUGUCCUU
Molecule: long non-coding RNA, 303 nt
Filed under: Sorghum bicolor (sorghum)
Lineage: Eukaryota; Viridiplantae; Streptophyta; Magnoliopsida; Poales; Poaceae
Description: long non-coding RNA (SBIC_LNC009882)
Source: RNAcentral